GCGCUUCCUUUGAGCCCUCGCCGCGCCUGCGCGUGGCGCCGGGCGGGUGGGGCGGGGGGGGGGGGGCGGUGUCAGGCUGCUGCGCCGGAGCAGCACGCGCUUGCGCUUAACUGGGGCCGUCUGACCCCGCGGUGGCGGCCUUUUUAACCGCGAGCUAGACGG
Balaenoptera musculus (blue whale) is the source of this 162-nucleotide small nucleolar RNA. NCBI's taxonomy places the organism in Eukaryota, Metazoa, Chordata, Mammalia, Artiodactyla, Balaenopteridae. The record is from Ensembl.